UGCAGUCGAGCGGACAGAAGGGAGCUUGCUCCCGGAUGUUAGCGGCGGACGGGUGAGUAACACGUGGGUAACCUGCCUGUAAGACUGGGAUAACUCCGGGAAACCGGAGCUAAUACCGGAUAGUUCCUUGAACCGCAUGGUUCAAGGAUGAAAGACGGUUUCGGCUGUCACUUACAGAUGGACCCGCGGCGCAUUAGCUAGUUGGUGAGGUAACGGCUCACCAAGGCGACGAUGCGUAGCCGACCUGAGAGGGUGAUCGGCCACACUGGGACUGAGACACGGCCCAGACUCCUACGGGAGGCAGCAGUAGGGAAUCUUCCGCAAUGGACGAAAGUCUGACGGAGCAACGCCGCGUGAGUGAUGAAGGUUUUCGGAUCGUAAAGCUCUGUUGUUAGGGAAGAACAAGUGCAAGAGUAACUGCUUGCACCUUGACGGUACCUAACCAGAAAGCCACGGCUAACUACGUGCCAGCAGCCGCGGUAAUACGUAGGUGGCAAGCGUUGUCCGGAAUUAUUGGGCGUAAAGGGCUCGCAGGCGGUUUCUUAAGUCUGAUGUGAAAGCCCCCGGCUCAACCGGGGAGGGUCAUUGGAAACUGGGAAACUUGAGUGCAGAAGAGGAGAGUGGAAUUCCACGUGUAGCGGUGAAAUGCGUAGAGAUGUGGAGGAACACCAGUGGCGAAGGCGACUCUCUGGUCUGUAACUGACGCUGAGGAGCGAAAGCGUGGGGAGCGAACAGGAUUAGAUACCCUGGUAGUCCACGCCGUAACGAUGAGUGCUAAGUGUUAGGGGGUUUCCGCCCCUUAGUGCUGCAGCUAACGCAUUAAGCACUCCGCCUGGGGAGUACGGUCGCAAGACUGAAACUCAAGGAAUUGACGGGGGGCCCGCACAAGCGGUGGAGCAUGUGGUUUAAUUCGAAGCAACGCGAAGAACCUUACCAGGUCUUGACAUCCUCUGACAACCCUAGAGAUAGGGCUUUCCCUUCGGGGGACAGA
RNAcentral lists this ribosomal RNA (991 nucleotides) under Bacillus subtilis. RNAcentral describes it as "bacterial SSU rRNA". It matches the Rfam family "Bacterial small subunit ribosomal RNA", at positions 56 to 1030 of the family's 1533-position model. The record is from RNAcentral. Lineage: Bacteria; Bacillati; Bacillota; Bacilli; Caryophanales; Bacillaceae.